RNAcentral lists this ribosomal RNA (458 nucleotides) under uncultured bacterium. RNAcentral's name for it is "bacterial SSU rRNA". It matches the Rfam family "Bacterial small subunit ribosomal RNA", at positions 346 to 819 of the family's 1533-position model. The record is from RNAcentral.
AGGCAGCAGUGGGGAAUUUUCCGCAAUGGGCGAAAGCCUGACGGAGCAACGCCGCGUGAGGGAUGAAGGCCUCUGUGCUGUAAACCUCUUUUAUCAAGGAAGAAGAUCUGACGGUACCUGAUGAAUAAGCCACGGCUAAUUCCGUGCCAGCAGCCGCGGUAAUACGGGAGUGGCAAGCGUUAUCCGGAAUUAUUGGGCGUAAAGCGUCCGCAGGCGGCCUUUUAAGUCUGUUGUCAAAGCGUGGAGCUUAACUCCAUUUCAGCAAUGGAAACUGGGAGGCUUGAGUGUGGUAGGGGCAGAGGGAAUUCCCGGUGUAGCGGUGAAAUGCGUAGAUAUCGGGAAGAACACCAGUGGCGAAGGCGCUCUGCUGGGCCAUAACUGACGCUCAUGGACGAAAGCCAGGGGAGCGAAAGGGAUUAGAUACCCCUGUAGUCCUGGCCGUAAACGAUGAACACUAG